Molecule: long non-coding RNA, 783 nt
Filed under: Homo sapiens (human)
Lineage: Eukaryota; Metazoa; Chordata; Mammalia; Primates; Hominidae
Description: HSALNT0402051
Source: RNAcentral
UUACAUUUGCAUUUCUACAUAAGCCCACAUUCUGAGGUUCUGGGGAGGCAUGAAUUUUGGGAGGGACACUAUCUUUCCCAGAACAGCUUCUAUUAUUUUGUGUGUGUGUGCUCAGUGCUUCGUAGACUUGACUUUAUCCCCUCCUCCUAGCCACCUUAUGAGGAAGGGACAAUGGCUACCUUGCCUCACAUGAGGAGGCGAGGCACAGAGACUUGGAACCUCUCAGGAUACACGAUCAUCUUUGCCCUUGCUUGGAAUUCAUCUGAUUUUCAAAGAGGCGGCCUGCAGCAGAGCCUCCCAACCUGACUUUUCUCUCCAAAUGGCAGUCCCUGCACGACAAUGAACAAGGAGAAGCUGGGCUCCACAGUGCCCUGUGUUCACAGGCUCCACAGUGAGACGAAAUGUCCUGGUUUAAAACGGACAUUGAUCAGACCUGCUGGGAAGGCAAGCGGGAGGCAGAAAGGCACGGCUGCUUCCAAGUUUCUGUUGGCAGAGAGGGCAGAGCUGACAACUCCCAGUGAAAGAUGUUUUCACCGUGGCGCAAGAGCAGAGACAGGGCCAGCGCGGCACCCCAGCCCCGCUCACAGCUCUAGGUUGAUGCUUCUCAGAGGGAAGAGCUCUUUCUCUCUCAAGAGUUUCAAUAAUCGUAUCCUAACUUGGCACAGAACCUCACCCUUCCUGGGAACACAGGAAUGUUUGCUACUUGAUGUCAAUAAAAUCCAACUCCUUAAGUGCUUAGGAGCUGGGGCUAAGGCAACUUUUGUCAUCAAAAAGAAGGCCCAG